This 20-nucleotide microRNA is filed under the name Drosophila pseudoobscura pseudoobscura. Its description in RNAcentral is "mir-2566a-2-RA". Lineage: Eukaryota; Metazoa; Arthropoda; Insecta; Diptera; Drosophilidae. The record is from RNAcentral.
UAGAAACACAAAUCAUGUGU